GGUGUGAUGAGAUGAUUGAAGCUGUUAAUUUUCUCCUUGAUAAUAUUUACGUACGUUUCGGCAACAAAGUUUAGCGACAGGUUGUAGGUAUCCCCAUGGGCACUACUUGUGCCCCUUUAAUAGCAGACUUGUUUUUGUACUGUUACGAAUCACAGUUUAUGACUAAACUCAGUAAAGACCCGUCGAAAUUGCAUUUAAUUGAUAAAUUCAACAACACUUUACCGUUAUCUUGAUGAUAUUUUUUCGUUAAAUAAUCAAGAAUUUUCUCAAUAUACUGCUGAAAUUUACCCCAAGGAACUUACUUUAAAUAAAUCAAAUUUAUUCGGUAAUAACUGUCCUUUCCUGGAUUUAGAUACUUCGGUUUUAAACGGGAAACUACACUCUAAAAUUUACGACAAAAGAGACGAUUUUUCGUUCCCUAUUGUUAAUUUUCCAUUUUUGGAUGGUGAUGUUCCUUUGGCACCAUCUUACGGUGUUUAUAUUUCACAACUUGUUCGUUAUGCUCGUGUCUGUUGUGACGUUUUUGAUUUUAACGAACGCAACCUAUGUAUUACUGGUAAAUUAUUAAACCAGGGAUAUCGUUACCAUAAAUUACUUAAAACCUUUACUAAAUUUUUCCAUAGAUAUAAAGAUUUGGUUUUGAAGUUUGGUUGUACCUGUAGACAACUCAUUUCAAACGGGAUAGCACAUCCUCGUUUUUACGGAAAUGUUGUUAACCGUGCCCGGAAAUUUAAAAAUGAUCCAUGUAAACUUGUCGCUCCUUUAAAUAAACUUAUUCUAAAAGAUUCCCUAUUCAACACUGUAAUAAGAUCAUUGAAUAAUGUUUUUAUUGGUAUAAAUAUUGAUUUUAUUAUCAGUAGAUUAAAAGCCAACUAAAUAUUACUAGACUAUGUUAUAUACAUAUACAUAUUCAUGGAUCUACAAUCUGUCGAUACUUGUAUCUUGGCAUUGCACAAGGUCAUGUUUUUCUCCGGAUGUUUAUAACGUCUUUACACUAAAUCCUAUGGAUGUUGGAUGUGUACAGAUUGAUUGUUUAGUCUUAGAUGCAUGAUUUUUUUAUUAGUUGUUAGUGGCUUUGAACUAGCUGUCAGAUAACUGCGAGUACUCUCAGAUCUGUUCAUUGUGUCUUUUUGUGCCGGGAUGUAUAAGUACCGGCCACGUCCACUUGUAUUUUUUG
RNAcentral lists this long non-coding RNA (1177 nucleotides) under Mytilus galloprovincialis (Mediterranean mussel). The record is from RNAcentral. Lineage: Eukaryota; Metazoa; Mollusca; Bivalvia; Mytilida; Mytilidae.